Non-coding RNA from Salvia hispanica, 1095 nucleotides. Lineage: Eukaryota; Viridiplantae; Streptophyta; Magnoliopsida; Lamiales; Lamiaceae. The record is from RefSeq and is a predicted model, not a curated record.
GCCCCUACAAACCCACAAAAACAUGUAAAAGCCCAAAAAAGGGGAAGUUAUCCCAUCUUCUCCACCGUUUGGUAGAGGAGGAGUUUGUAAGAAGAUCCGGCAUAAAAUUCUCGGAUCUCGCGGAUAUUGACAUUAGAAUCGGCGAUUCUUGCAAUCCACUAUCCCACAAAAUUUGUGGUAUUAUUUUUUCUCCACUUCUCCGACUUGUCUUGUGGAGUUUUAUGCCCAAAUUGCCCUCUUAAUUUUCGAUCGCUUCAUACACAGAGGGAGCACCAGAAACUCCUUGGUGGCGGUAAAUCGAGGUCUCGGACCAGCACAGGAAAGAAUCUAUAUAUAGAUGGAGGAAGGUGAGGAUUCAAGAAAAUGGGAUGAAUUACUACCUGAUGCACUAGGCUAAUAUUCAAGAAUCUCUCACUAUGUGAGGUUUCCAAGAGUUUGCAAAUCAUGGGGACGAGCAGCCACGGGGCCUUACUGCUUGCAAGAGAUCGACGUUGAGGAAUGGAGUCGAAACAGGAAGCCGGAGGUCGUGGAUAGAAUGCUCCGAUUGCUAAUAGCAAGAAGUUGUGGCUCUCUCCGAAAGCUCACUGUCUCUGGCCUCUCCUUGGACAAAACCCUUUUGUUCAUAGCAGAUCAGUAACUCAUGGUCGAUCUCUGCGAAGUUUGAGACUGUUGCGAAAUGCACGACGCAGUAGUGGGGAAGGCUGCUGCAAUGCUGUGUGUACGCAAACGACCGACAUAUGAGGAGUGGUGAAAGAGAUACAACGAUACCAGACGGACUUCCAUUGCAUGUGAGCUUUCGCUUUCCCUUCGAAGCCAUUGAAACAACUUCAGUCGGAGGAUGCUAUUCAGCAUGGAUUUUCAAUGAAAGCAAAGGAUGGUGCAAGUGCUUAUAUGAAGGGAAAGGGGAGAAGUUGGCGCCCAUGCGAGAAGAUUUCUGCGCCAAGCUGAAGAUUUGCAAAGACAACGGAGGAUAAAGGGGACAUUACAUCUUAAAAAGUGGGGGCAUUUUUGUAUUCACAGGGCAUAAUAUAACUUUCCACUGUAAUGACUAGUCCUACCAAACAAUGAAUUAAGCCACAAAAAAUUUCUACCAAA